GAUGAACGCUGGCGGCGUGCCUAAUACAUGCAAGUCGAGCGAACAGACGAGGAGCUUGCUCCUCCGACGCUAGCGGCGGACGGGUGAGUAACACGUGGAUAACCUACCUAUAAGACUGGGAUAACUUCGGGAAACCGGAGCUAAUACCGGAUAAUAUAUUGAACCGCAUGGUUCAAUAGUGAAAGACGGUUUUGCUGUCACUUAUAGAUGGAUCCGCGCCGCAUUAGCUAGUUGGUAAGGUAACAGCUUACCAAGGCGACGAUGCGUAGCCGACCUGAGAGGGUGAUCGGCCACACUGGAACUGAGACACGGUCCAGACUCCUACGGGAGGCAGCAGUAGGGAAUCUUCCGCAAUGGGCGAAAGCCUGACGGAGCAACGCCGCGUGAGUGAUGAAGGUCUUCGGAUCGUAAAACUCUGUUAUUAGGGAAGAACAAAUGUGUAAGUAACUAUGCACGUCUUGACGGUACCUAAUCAGAGAGCCACGGCUAACUACGUG
Molecule: ribosomal RNA, 497 nt
Filed under: uncultured bacterium
Lineage: Bacteria
Description: partial 16S ribosomal RNA
Rfam family: Bacterial small subunit ribosomal RNA
Source: RNAcentral